GAAUAUUUGUUACAUUUAUUACUUAGCACUCUGAAGAUGUUGAGGGAAACAAUUUUCUCAAAUGCUUGAAUGUAUUAAAAACACAUUUCUGAAACAGAAGGAUCGCUGUACACACAGUGUUCAAUGUAAAGUCUGAAAUACGUUUUGCAGACACAUGCCACAUUUUACUGUUUCUUUCAUAAUGCUAAUUAAAUUUCCUACUUGGAGUCUCAGAACCUAAAAAAUGAAGUUCUUCAUUGAAAUCUGAGUCAAGGGCACCAUUCUGUGCAUAAUUAAGCAGAGUACAACGGGAAUUUGCAUUAAUUCAGAGUGAGAAAAAUCAUCAAUUUAUUAUGAGGCCUGAUGGCAACUGAACAAUUUUCUACAGCACUUUAAUGAUUUCUGUGUCUGUAACAGUCACAUUCAUUAAGCAUAUUAAGCUUUAAUUAGCUUCAGCAGAUUCUGCUCUUCUUCCAGGUCACGUGCGGCCACCCGGGCUGCUGAGGGCGCCUCAGCCAGGAUGCAUCCUCUGCUUUCGAGUCUGAGUCCGCCGCCCCGCCAGCAGGCACCCUGAGCCAACCGGAGCACAUGCCUCACAGCGCUUUCCCCAGAUCGGAGUCUAAGGAUGAUGUCAGAAGCGCCGGAAAACGCUUGAAUUAACCUCACACUGAAAAAACCCCUGAAAUAGGACGACUAUUUC
RNAcentral lists this long non-coding RNA (679 nucleotides) under Bos taurus (domestic cattle). RNAcentral describes it as "long non-coding RNA NONBTAT020440". The record is from RNAcentral. Lineage: Eukaryota; Metazoa; Chordata; Mammalia; Artiodactyla; Bovidae.